RNAcentral lists this long non-coding RNA (399 nucleotides) under Salmo salar (Atlantic salmon). Its description in RNAcentral is "lncRNA (ENSSSAG00000082173.1)". Lineage: Eukaryota; Metazoa; Chordata; Actinopteri; Salmoniformes; Salmonidae. The record is from RNAcentral.
CAUCAUUACAGUAAGGACAGUACAGUGGUACAUCAUUACAGUAAGGACAGUACAGUAGUAUAUCAUUACAGUAAGGACAGUAUAGAGGUACAUAAUUACAGUAAGGACAGUACAGUGGUUCAUCAUUACAGUAAGGACAGUAUAGAGGUACAUCAUUACAGUAAGGACAGUAUAGAGGUACAUUAUUACAGUAAGGACAGUAUAGAGGUACAUCAUUACAGUAAGGACAGUAUAGAGGUACAUUAUUACAGUAAGGACAGUAUAGCGGUACAUUAUUACAGUAAGGACAGUACAGUGGUACAUCAUUACAGUAAGGACAGUACAGAGGUACAUUAUUACAGUAAGGACAGUAUAGCGGUACAUUAUUACAGUAAGGACAGUACAGAGCAGUGAGGGAAC